RNAcentral lists this ribosomal RNA (496 nucleotides) under uncultured bacterium. RNAcentral's name for it is "partial 16S ribosomal RNA". It matches the Rfam family "Bacterial small subunit ribosomal RNA", at positions 28 to 506 of the family's 1533-position model. The record is from RNAcentral.
GACGAACGCUGGCGGCGUGCCUAAUACAUGCAAGUUGAGCGCUGAAGGUUGGUACUUGUACCGACUGGAUGAGCAGCGAACGGGUGAGUAACGCGUGGGGAAUCUGCCUUUGAGCGGGGGACAACAUUUAGAAACGAAUGCUAAUACCGCAUAAAAACUUUAAACACAAGUUUUAAGUUUGAAAGAUGCAAUUGCAUCACUCAAAGAUGAUCCCGCGUUGUAUUAGCUAGUUGGUGAGGUAAAGGCUCACCAAGGCGAUGAUACAUAGCCGACCUGAGAGGGUGAUCGGCCACAUUGGGACUGAGACACGGCCCAAACUCCUACGGGAGGCAGCAGUAGGGAAUCUUCGGCAAUGGACGAAAGUCUGACCGAGCAACGCCGCGUGAGUGAAGAAGGUUUUCGGAUCGUAAAACUCUGUUGGUAGAGAAGAACGUUGGUGAGAGUGGAAAGCUCAUCAAGUGACGGUAACGACCCAGAAAGGGACGGCUAACUACGU